AGUCGACGAGAAGCCGGAGCAUCUGGUGAGUAAAGUGGCGUACGGGUGAGUAACACGUGGAUUAUCUACCUCUUAGUGGGGAAUAACGCUGGGAAACUGGCGCUAAUACCGCAUAAGCUCGUGAGAGGAAAGCAGCAAUGCGCUGAGAGAGGAGUCCGCGGCCGAUUAGCUAGUUGGCAGGGUAAAGGCCUACCAAGGCAAAGAUCGGUAGCCGGCCUGAGAGGGCACACGGCCACACUGGCACUGAAACACGGGCCAGACUCCUACGGGAGGCAGCAGUGGGGAAUCUUGCACAAUGGGGGAAACCCUGAUGCAGCGACGCCGCGUGAGCGAUGAAGCCCUUCGGGGUGUAAAGCUCUUUCGGCAGGAACGAUAAUGACGGUACCUGAAGAAGAAGCUGCGGCUAACUACGUGCCAGCAGCCGCGGUAAUACGUAGGCAGCGAGCGUUGUUCGGAGUUACUGGGCGUAAAGAGUGCGUAGGUGGCUCUCUAAGUUUGGUGUGAAAUCUCCCGGCUCAACUGGGAGGGUGCGCCGAAAACUGGAGGACUAGAGUGUGGGAGAGGAAAGCGGAAAUCCUGGUGUAGCGGUGAAAUGCGUAGAUAUCAGGAGGAACACCUGCGGUGUAGACGGCUUUCUGGACCACUACUGACACUGAGGCACGAAAGCGUGGGGAGCAAACAGGAUUAGAUACCCUGGUAGUCCACGCCCUAAACGAUGCACACUUGGUGUGAGCCAUUCAUUUGGUUCGUGCCGGAGCUAACGCGUUAAGUGUGCCGCCUGGGG
RNAcentral lists this ribosomal RNA (784 nucleotides) under uncultured bacterium. Its description in RNAcentral is "bacterial SSU rRNA". It matches the Rfam family "Bacterial small subunit ribosomal RNA", at positions 60 to 878 of the family's 1533-position model. The record is from RNAcentral.